This 372-nucleotide ribosomal RNA is filed under the name Triticum aestivum (bread wheat). RNAcentral's name for it is "partial small subunit ribosomal RNA". Lineage: Eukaryota; Viridiplantae; Streptophyta; Magnoliopsida; Poales; Poaceae. The record is from RNAcentral.
AUGAAAUUGCCACCUGCCAUGACAAACAUAUAUGUUGGUCCUUCCUUUGGGCAGUCCCAAGGAUGCCUGUAUGCUUGGCGGAUGGACGAUUGCCAGCUCUCUGUUUGGGCUCUUGAGAACUAUGAUGGUGGACAGUGGACCCUAAGGUGUACUGUCGACUGUUUGGAACUGUUCGGAAGGGAUUGUCGCAAAGAAAAUGAGUUCUACCGGAUGUUUGCAAUUCAUCCAGAAUGUGAUAUGAUUUUCCUUAUUGACAGAAAGGAGAAGACAUUGUCAUACGAUAUGAAUAACAAAAAAGUGCAUGCUAUCUGCGCUUCUGGAGAUUUCCCGGAAGGUCUACCUUACACUCCCUGUUUUGAGGAAUGGACAUGA